This 225-nucleotide non-coding RNA is filed under the name Clostridia bacterium. RNAcentral describes it as "6S RNA". It matches the Rfam family "6S / SsrS RNA". Rfam says of the family: E. coli 6S RNA was the first non coding RNA to be sequenced, but its function was unknown until recently. The record is from RNAcentral. Lineage: Bacteria; Bacillati; Bacillota; Clostridia.
GUAUUCCUGCUUAGUGCGUGAUAAGGUGAUGUAUUCGAGCUACACUUUUAAAAAUGGAGUUCAAUAUCCAAUAUCGGUUUGCAGGCCUCCUAUCAUACUCUCUCUUAAUGGGCAUUUGCCGGACAGUCUAUGAUAGAUGUUGGAAGCAGUAAAGAUAUUAUGAGGACACCACCCUUGUUAACACAAGGUUCAAAUUUUCGCCUUACACGGCUCGGUGGGUAUCAA